AAAGUCGUAACAAGGUUUCCGUAGGUGAACCUGCGGAAGGAUCAUUACUGAGUGCGGGCCCUCUGGGUCCAACCUCCCACCCGUGUUUAUCGUACCUAGUUGCUUCGGCGGGCCCGCCUUUCACGGCCGCCGGGGGGCAUCUGCCCCCGGGCCCGCGCCCGCCGAAGACACCCUCGAACGCUGUCUGAAGGUUGCAGUCUGAGCUUGAUUAGCAAAUCAAUCAAAACUUUCAACAACGGAUCUCUUGGUUCCG
RNAcentral lists this unclassified non-coding RNA (253 nucleotides) under Ascomycota sp. Its description in RNAcentral is "partial contains small subunit ribosomal RNA, internal transcribed spacer 1, and 5.8S ribosomal RNA". The stretch from base 1 to 47 matches the Rfam family "Eukaryotic small subunit ribosomal RNA", at positions 1785 to 1831 of the family's 1831-position model. The record is from RNAcentral. Lineage: Eukaryota; Fungi; Ascomycota.